AGACGAACAAAUUGAAGCAUGGAGAACUUAAGGAAUGCCUUAAGACUACCACUGAUUCUCUACAGACAGUGAAGCGUAAUAUUUCCCAGACUAGCACUUCCCACAGCCCUGCACAUGGGACCCCACUGCCUGGUAGAAAUGAAGUGGCCUUACUAACAAGUUUACCUCCAAAUUAUGAGAUUUCAGAAGGAAAACCAAGAGCCAUCUCUGCAUACAUGAGAGCAGGCAAAGGAAAUGUCCCAAGGGGAAGAAAGAGGACACACUUGGGCAAUGAUUAUGGGGUAAAGGAAGCACAGGAGACAGUGUAGGAAAUGUACAGCCCAUGUGGAAGAUCCAAAGAGAGCUUUGGCUGUGACUAAGCUUCCUGCAUUCUCCUGGAGUUUGUGGUUUACGAAUGUGGCACCAUCUGCGGAACUGACAACCCCUGAUGUGUUCACCCUGCUCCUCUUCCAG
Molecule: non-coding RNA, 453 nt
Organism: Saimiri boliviensis boliviensis (Bolivian squirrel monkey)
Lineage: Eukaryota; Metazoa; Chordata; Mammalia; Primates; Cebidae
Source: RefSeq, a predicted model, not a curated record